RNAcentral lists this ribosomal RNA (1181 nucleotides) under Pedobacter sp. Its description in RNAcentral is "bacterial SSU rRNA". It matches the Rfam family "Bacterial small subunit ribosomal RNA", at positions 37 to 1198 of the family's 1533-position model. The record is from RNAcentral. Lineage: Bacteria; Pseudomonadati; Bacteroidota; Sphingobacteriia; Sphingobacteriales; Sphingobacteriaceae.
UGGGGAGUCGGCAGCCUAUACAUGCAGUCGAACGAGAUUAUCCAGCUUGCUGGAUAUGAAAGUGGCGCACGGGUGCGUAACGCGUAUGCAACCUACCUUAAUCAGGGGGAUAGCCCGAAGAAAUUCGGAUUAACACCGCAUAAAAACACAGAAUAGCAUUAUUCAAUGUUCAAAUAUUUAUAGGAUUAAGAUGGGCAUGCGUGUCAUUAGCUAGUUGGCGGGGUAACGGCCCACCAAGGCGACGAUGACUAGGGGAUCUGAGAGGAUGACCCCCCACACUGGUACUGAGACACGGACCAGACUCCUACGGGAGGCAGCAGUAAGGAAUAUUGGUCAAUGGAGGCAACUCUGAACCAGCCAUGCCGCGUGCAGGAAGACGGCCCUAUGGGUUGUAAACUGCUUUUAUCUGGGAAUAAACCUUUUUACGUGUAAGAAGCUGAAUGUACCAGAAGAAUAAGGAUCGGCUAACUCCGUGCCAGCAGCCGCGGUAAUACGGAGGAUCCAAGCGUUAUCCGGAUUUAUUGGGUUUAAAGGGUGCGUAGGCGGCCUGUUAAGUCAGAGGUGAAAGACGGUAGCUCAACUAUCGCAGUGCCUUUGAUACUGACGGGCUUGAAUAAACUAGAGGUAGGCGGAAUGAGACAAGUAGCGGUGAAAUGCAUAGAUAUGUCUCAGAACACCGAUGGCGAAGGCAGCUUACUAUGGUUUUAUUGACGCUGAGGCACGAAAGCGUGGGGAUCAAACAGGAUUAGAUACCCUGGUAGUCCACGCCCUAAACGAUGAAUACUCGCUGUUAGCGAUAUACAGUUAGCGGCUAAGCGAAAGCGUUAAGUAUUCCACCUGGGGGAGUACGCUCGCAAGAGUGAAACUCAAAGGAAUUGACGGGGGCCCGCACAAGCGGAGGAGCAUGUGGUUUAAUUCGAUGAUACGCGAGGAACCUUACCCGGGCUUGAAAGUUAGUGAAUUAUCUAGAGAUAGAUAAGUGAGCAAUCACACGAAAACUAGGUGCUGCAUGGGCUGUCCGUCAGCUCGUGCCCGUGAAGGUGUUUGGGGUUAAGUCCCCCCAACGAAGCGCCAACCCCCUAUGUUUUAGUUUGCCCACCAUGGUAAUGGAUGGGGGACUCUUAAAAAGAACUGGCCGUUGGCAAACCAAAAAGAGAAGGGAGGGGGGACAAACAUUCCAG